CUCUUUUUAGGGCUGCACUGGAGACAUAUGGAGGUUCCCAGGCUAGGGGUCGAAGCAGAGGUACAACUGCCAGCCACAGCCACAGCCACAGCCACAGCAAUUUUGGAUCCGAGCCGUGUCUGCGACCUACACCAUAGCUCACAGCAACGCCAGAUCCUUAACCCCUUGAGCGAGGCCUGAACAAGGCCAGGGAUAGAACCUGUGUCCUCACGGAUACUAGUCAAAUUUGAUAACCACUGAGCCAUGGAGGGAACUCCAACUUAUCUUUCUUUUCACCCUGCUAUGUCUGGGAAAUUCUUUCUCCAACCCUUGUACCUAGACCACCACAGACAGUACCUCGGAACUGGGGGGGCAGGGCUCCAGGAACCCCCUGUCCUCCCACAGUCUGCCUCACACCCUCUUCUGAGAGUUCCCACCCAGGGUCUCAGGUGAGCAGGAAGUGUGGCAGUGACCCCACCCAUUUACAGUGGUGUGUGGCCCGGUCAGCAAAGGUCAGUGGGCCCAUCACAUUCUUUCUCUGGAAGCUGUCAGCACUGAAAGAUGUUCCUUGAGGCUUAGCACCUGGGCAGGAUGUGCCUCGACUGGGGAAAGAGGCGGGGAGGGGAGCCACAGGGAGCUAGGAACACCUCCAAAGAGGUAGAGAUGAAAGCAUGGCAGUUCCCAGAGCUCCUGGAUUCCUGCUCUGCCUAAGGCCUGUUUGCUCGGCUUUUCUUGGAUUCCUAGGAGGCCUUUCUAGAGCCUUAGAAAAGCCCAGUUUUACUGGAGCCUGUCUUUAUACAACCAAAAGAGUCUUAGAGAGAACACUCAAUACAAACAGAGCCACUCCACUUUUAUCUUUUCGCAUUUCAGGGGUCAUGGAAGCUUUUGACUGAAAGGUGGAAACCAAAAAGACUCCAAGCUGCUAAAACAAAGUAUGGAAAUCAUGGGCCCGGUGUGAGACUUGCUUCGGUGAGAAGGACACCUCGGCACAGAAAAAAAAAGGUAGCAGGGCUGUUUUAUAAGCCCCUGUCUCAGAGGGAGACCAGAAGGAGGGAUGAGAGAGCCACCCUCGGGGUGCCCCCCCCCUAGUCUCUGCCCCAGGUUCAGGUGUGGGACCUACAGUGGGCAACUCUGGGCAGGGGACAGCUGACUCUGGUGGUAGAGAACCUGGGAGGCCUGGGGUUCCCUGGGAAGCCCUGGCUUGGGAACUCUCCCAGCACAGGAUGCCUGUGCUUUGGCGGAAAUAAGGAUAAAGAGUUGCGGGCCAAGUUGAACCUUGAAAUUCUCCUCCUCCUUUCCUAAUCCCACCAGCCCCCAGACCCCUCUGUACACUUAGGUGGACAGCUGCCUCCUUUCUCCAGUUGGCCCCCCUCCUCCACUCCCUGCCCCCGCUCAAAGACUCAGCGUCUGGUUGUUCACAAAAGGGACAUGAGUUGGGCAUAUGCAAGUGUUACCUGGCAUCUAACUGACAUUGGCUUCCCUCCGUGGGACUCACUGUUCUUUUCCCCCAUACAUAUUUCUGACUCCCUCUGUCUAAGCCCAACUCUUCCUCUUCCUAACUUCAUGCAAUUCAUCCAUCCCUUCUCUCCAAGGAGUGCACUGUGAUGGGCAUACCUCUGGAGAGCUUAGGCUUUGCACUGAGACUCAAACCAGGAGACCAAAAAGCAUAUUUUAGCACUUCAGGGAGAACAGAGGUGUGGGACUUCAAGGCCUCUCCAAAGAGAUAAAACUCCAAAAGCCUCUGGCUGGGAUAAGAAUUACCAGACCCUGAUCAUCCCACCCCUCUCGUUGUACUUGUUACAAAGUUCCUAUGCCCCCUUGCCCACUUUGAGCAACCUGGCCUACUCCUCCUUGCCCCCCACUAGGAAGCGUAUGUGGCCCACUCCUCACCCCACCCCUACUAAGACCUCUCCCUCUCCAUUGCCUCCAAGCUAUAAAAACAGAUUCGAGGAGUUGCCUGUCCCUGAUUAUUAGGAAAUCAUCCACUGCCCUUGCAGCCUUUCUUAUCUCCAUAAACUUAGCUUUCUUUUCACAAUGCUCUAAGUCUGGAAAUUCUUUUUCCAACCUGCACAUGAACCACAAGAGGCACUUGGGAUUAACUUUACUUCUCCUGAACUGGAACCUAUUCCCUCAUGGUGAAAUAGGCUUCCUUCUACCCAGCCCUUUACAGGGCUGGAUUGGUUCUAUGGCCACGGCAGUAAUAGAUGGUGAGGGAGACAGAUGUCAGAGAAGGUCUAGCCCUUUCCUGCCACCUUUAGAGCCUCAUUUGGUUCCAGGAGCAGCAUUAGGACCCAUAAAUCAAGGGUGAAGGUAGGCUUCUGAAGGGGAAACUGUCCAGAAAGCACCUGCCCCUCAGUCUAAAGUACAGUAUGUGCAUAAAAUGCUCACCCCAAAGUGAGUGUUGUGCAUUAAUAUGGACAUUAAAAGCCCGAGCACCUCCUGGGCUCAGGCGCUCUCCAGAUCUGACACCUCUUACAAUGCCAUCCCCACACAUUCUCUCCCACACCAGGGGGGCAAGGACCAGCAGUGGUGAGUGGCUAAGGGGAACUCAAAAAGGUUUGUAGAAUGAGCCUUACCUCCCAUGAGAAAGAGAAGCCCUGCCACGUACUGCAUAAGGCCUCGGUCCCAGCAGCAGCCCAGCACACCGAUGAUCCAGCCGAAGAGGAUGAUGGCCACUGCCAUGCCCAUGAAGCCAGCCGUCAUCCUGCGCAGGUCUGCAGGGAAGCAGGCGGGCAACAGUUAGCAUCAGAGCCCAGAACUCAGGGUCCGGUGCACCCUGGCCCAGGACCAGAGGGAGGGGGCAGGGUACCACAGGGCCAGGGAGGCAACCUGCCCUUUGCAGACAGGUUGAUACAACCAGGCCUUCUUCACAGAGGACAGAGCCCCUGAGGGUGACUGCAUCCUUGUGUGCAAACACCUCCCGGGACAGCUUGGUCCACAAGCACAGGGAGAGGUCAUCAUCAUAAGACUGUCACUUCUUCUACAUCCCCUCUGCGCCAAGCACAGCACUGUCCUUCCCAAGCUUCUUGCCCAACCUUCUAAGACAGAUGCUGUCUUUGUUUUAUUUUUUAAAGUUUUAUUGCAGUAUAGUUGACUUACAAUGUCACGAUAAUUUCUGUCUUUAUCCCUGUCUGAAAAACAGAGCAACUUGGCAAAACCCUUGCAGUAAGUGAGGGGUAGCACAGAUCUGUGUGGCUCCUGGGUCCUAACCAUGGCACCUCUUGCCUCUCUGGGAGGUGAGAAUUCUUACAGCUGGGCUGGGUCUCGGCGGUCUGGCUGCACCUGCCAAGAAUCCCCUUCCCUUGCCACCAGGGCUAGCCGGUUUCCCAGAAGGUCAAGUGUGGGGAGGAAGCUGCUGGUGGCAGCAUCAUGUUCCCCCCCUCUAAGCUGCCACCCACACCAGGGGCUCAGCUUCCCUUGCAUGUGCAGUUGCAGGGUGGGAGCCACACUUCCUGCCCUCAGACUGAGCCCCAGCAGGCCCCUCAGGUCGGCCCAGCCUUCUGCAUCAGGCCCUUCUCAGCCCCCCUCCCCACUGACCUGCCAGACAGAGCCUGCCGUGGGCUCAGGGGCAGGUGGACCAUCUGGAAAGGUGAGAUUUUUAGCAGAAGGGAGAGAGGAAAGCUGCUGCCCUGGCUCAGUGAGGCUCACUCAGCAUCUUCCUCAGCUGGGCUUCCUCCCAGCUCCAGCUUCGCCCUCCACAGCAUCAUCUACCUCUCCAGCCUCACACUCCCUGCGCCGCGCCUUCUUGCUCCCUCCUAGGUAACACCCCAACGGGGCUCCAAACAGGAGCGAAGCCAUUUGCCUGGGCCUUUCACCAAGGUUGGGGGCGGGGGCUGCAGAGCAGCAUGGAGACCUAUGGGUGCUCCCCUUGCUCAGAGGACGAGGAGUGUGAAGAGGCGAAGGUGGGGGGAUGAGCCAGCAAACUGCAUCAACCCCACCCCCCCAUCCCACACCAGCAUGGACGGUCUCUCCUUACCCCUGGGAAACAAACACCCAGGGUUCCGUCAGGAGCACCUCACAGGCAUUGCACCUGUCUGUGCCUCUCUCCCACUCCGGUCUCCCCAUGGGCAGAGUGCACCCAGGAUCCCUGCACAGUCUGCCUUGAGACCACCUGUGCGCUCCACCCCCACCCCUAGAUGGACGUGGUCCUCGCUCCUGGUCCUGACCCUGAAGAUCAGACACGCAGCCCCCCCCCUACCCCCCGCCCCCAGGGAGGAAGCUGGUUGGGGGGUGGGGAAAACAUCAGCUGAACCUGCCUCUGAGGAGAAGUGCCCCAUCAGGGCCCUUGUCACAAAGGCUGA
This 4280-nucleotide long non-coding RNA is filed under the name Sus scrofa (pig). RNAcentral describes it as "lncRNA (ENSSSCG00030044341.1)". The record is from RNAcentral. Lineage: Eukaryota; Metazoa; Chordata; Mammalia; Artiodactyla; Suidae.